CAGGGAGCCACUGCUACGCUGGCUGCCACUAGAGAUCGUGUGCAUUCUCCAGAAUUUCACGGAAUUGUCUUGGGAACACAAGCUGUCCUGUUGGGACGGUAGCUGUUACUGUGUCGGGUGCGCAGAUCUUCCCAUAGGCCGGAGGCAAACCUGUGAAGACACCUGCGCACAGGGCUGCCGUUCCGCCAAGCCGAACGGGCUGUGGUCAGUGUGUGUGGUGACUCUCAGUUCCUCUCCUUGGUCUGCCUUUGGACUGUUUCUGCCUCUGAACUCCAGGACCAGACAGACAACGUGGCCUCUCUGAAUGGCCGCCCCUGCCUUGCCUUGCAGCCCACAGGGGCUGGAGCCCAGCCUUGAGCUCCUCCAGGCCAGGGCGCAAGCGGGCGAAGCACCUCGCCAUGGGGAGGCGGUGACCGCGGGGCCACAGAGACGUGGGGCUCUUCCAAUACAUACUGUUCCCGGUUGUUUGCCUCCUGUAUUGAUUUUGGUGGCACCCCAAGUGCAGGAAGAGAAGUGUGCCAGUGGCUGUCCGUUCAUCCUGUCCUUGUCUUUGGAAGGACGCUGCUGUUUCCCCAACAGGCAUGUGUUGUUUGCUGCCCAGAAGGUUCUGUGGGAGGCUUUGAUCAAACCACGACCAGUGCCAUGGUUUGCUUGGCCUUUUAUCGUGGAUGGUGGCUGAAUUUAACAAAAAUGACUUGGUGUCUGGGGAGUGAUUUUACUGUCUUCUUUCUUCAACUGCUUAAGGGGCAAACUGCAUUGAAACGUUCUCCCAGUUUGAA
This is a long non-coding RNA of Manis pentadactyla (Chinese pangolin), 779 nucleotides long. RefSeq lists it as uncharacterized. The transcript has 3 exons. The record is from RefSeq and is a predicted model, not a curated record. NCBI's taxonomy places the organism in Eukaryota, Metazoa, Chordata, Mammalia, Pholidota, Manidae.